Molecule: long non-coding RNA, 2979 nt
Filed under: Nicotiana benthamiana
Lineage: Eukaryota; Viridiplantae; Streptophyta; Magnoliopsida; Solanales; Solanaceae
Description: long non-coding RNA (NBEN_LNC009813)
Source: RNAcentral
GAACAACGACUCAUAAACGAUCCCUCCCUUUUCUUAUAUCUCCACCCCAAACCCUAACCCUCAUUUCCCAAAUCCUCCAUCUGUACUUCCUUCCUCUAAUGAACCCUAAUGCUAUCGCCUCAUUUAAAUCCCCCUAAAUCUCGUUCCUAAUGGGAUUCUUUCCCCACUCACUUACCUUUUCGGUGUUUUUCCUUUAUUUGAUGUUAUCUAAAGAAUAACAUAAGUACUUGCCUAAACAUGGCAAGUACCCAACUUUGAUUCUUUCCUAAUCGAUUUUCACCUCUUGAAUCUGGACGACCUUAAGUCCAAAUGCGUUAUUUUUUACCGUGUGAGCCUGAUUUGCUCGCAUCUGGCUGAUUCAUACUUAACCCUAAAGGUUAAUGUUUCAAAUUCUCUUUUGAUUUGAACCUAAACUGGUUCAAGUUUUUAUUUUGAGUAUUAUUUCUUCUAUAUUCACUCUAUUGUGUGUGAAUCUGCCUAUUUCUAUUGAUUUCCUUUACUUUCCCUAAAAAUAGGGUUUCAGAUCUUCUCUAACUGAACAAAAUCUGGGUCAAUACAGUGUUUCUUUUUGAAUAAUAUCCUAUCUAUGUACGUUUUAUUCAAAUAUAUGAUUCUUUGCCUUUACGUUCUACUGAUUUUGCGAUUUACCUAACUUUUGGGUUUCAGACCCUUUUACUUGAACAAAAUGUGAUUCUAUUAUGUGCUUUUUGUGAAUAAUUUCUCGACUAUGUUCAUCGUAUGCAUUAUGUGAUUCUUUGCCUUAUUUUCUGCCAAUCUCAUGUACUUUUACCUAAAAUUUAGGGUUUCAAUUUUACUAAUUCAACCACUUCCUUUUUGGCAUUUGAACCAACUAUUUUCCAUGUUUAUAUUCUAAUUUCUACACUAUUUAAACCCCUUCCCACUCCUCUUUGAAGUGUCUUAAGUUCUAAGUUCAAAAUCUAUUGACCACUAUAAACUAAAGCGUGUACUUCUACUCUAUUGAAUAAUCUUACUCUGUGUUUUGAUUAUUGGAUAACUGAAAGCCAAGGAUAGAAAUCUCCAAGUUCUUGCUUCUGCUUGGUGAUAUUUACUACAUUUUUGGAUUCUUUUCUUCCCUCUUUCAUCCUAACUGGUGAAUCAUUACACCCUCUACCAAUUCAUUAUGAUUAUUUACUCAAUGUGUUACUACAAUUAGACUAUGUUAUCUUAAAUGUUAUUACUUGUUGUUUGAGACAUGUUUGAACCUUAACCCAAUAUUAUUGAUAACUAUCUCUCGAUGUUAAGUUAUGAACCUGCUUAUAAGUAUGCCCUUAUACCUUUUUUGUGGAUUGAUUAACUAGGUAUAGAUGUCUUCCUUAAUAGUAUAACAACUUUGCUUGGAGUACAUUGUAAUGUUGCCUAUUUAACGCUAUACUUACUGUGUUAUGACACCUCUAGCAAUUGCCUUAAUCAGUUUUAAUGUUAAUGUGCCCUGACCUAUUGCUGAUUAAUGUGAUUCCUUCCUAUGACACUAACUCCUGUAUUUAGUUUGAUUUAGACUCUCCGUUAUCAUUAUGAAUUUGCAUAUGAACUAUUCUUACUAGCAUGUAACUGUGUUUAGUUCCUAAAACUUGAUUAAGUAUGCUUAGGUUCAGAAAUGUCUAGUACUUGUUUGUAUAUGUUCAAUAUGUGAUUUUGUCUUUAAGUGGAUUGCCUAACCCAUUCUACUCCCUCAUAUUCUUUUACUAUCUAAUCGUUUUGAAUCUUCAAUCUUAGCCACCAGAAAUCCAAGGCUAUUUAGGUCAUGUCCGUUGACCUCCCUAGUGUGAGCACUGCUCAAGGUCCAUGUGAGACCCUUGUGAACUCUGACACACUAGGAUUUGGUCCCUAGUCUUUUCUUUAACCGUUUCUUAUCAAUCUCUCUAAUGUGAGCACUGCUCUGGGUUCUUGAAGCCCUUGGGAACUUUGACACACUAGGGAUUCAUGUUCUGAUAUAUGGGUGAAUCUCUCAACAACUGGUUAUGUUGUAUCUAUGAACAUGGAUUUUGGAGCUAUUUUGAGUUGAAGGCCUGACAUGCCAAGGUGUAUUCGGGACUACUAUAGACUCCCUAUAGUUAUACCUACUUUGUAAUUUAUUACAUUAAAUUCUGGUAUGUAAUAAUUAUUGUGUAAUAAUAAUUCUGGGGUGUUAGUGAAAUUAAGCAGGGUUUCUUAUUUUACAUUUUUGCAAUAAAAGUUGGGUAAAAAUCCUGCCUAUAGGUCCAACAAUGUGUUAUUAUAUGUAAUGUCUUAAAAUCCUGCCUAUAAGUCCAAUAGUGUGCUAUUAUAUGUAAUGUGUUAGAAAUCAUUCCUAUAGGUCCCUUAUUAUGUUUAAUUAUCCUAUACGGGCAGCCAUGCCUAUAGACUUAAUGAUUGGUUCUGUUAUGUUCUGCUUUACUAGAAACCAUGCCUAUUGGAAAUAGUGUGAUCCAAUGUGUGCAAAAUGUCGGUUUACAUACUGUUCUGUUCAAAUUAUAGAAAUCAUGCCUAUAAGAUCUAAAUUUGGAUCAAAUUAUGGAAUGCACGUCUGAAUCUGUUUAAUCGUUAUUUCUGCCCGCUUACUCAUGAGUUCCAAACAUUAUGCUACUGCUUCCAUUAGAAAACAUGCCUAUAGGGUUAAAACCAAUAAUCUAGAUAUGUUUAUGUGACCUCCCACUACUUACUAUCGUAUAAAACACCUAGAUACCAUGCUAGUAGGAUUAAUCGUAUUAUGCUAAAAUCCAUUGGCAAACUAUUGUAGAUUCUAAUAAUUGCAUUAAUAAGCUUGUUUAGUACAUGACUACCUGCUCGCUCAACAUCACAUAGAUAUCCUACCUAUAGAAUCCGACAACUGAUAAAAUCUAUCAAUGUUAACCAGGUUGGCGUGCAUUUGAUGUCUAAAUGUGGAGGCUGACUUGAGCCCAUAUUUGUUACUAUUUCAAAGUCCUAACAUUGUAUGUCGCUUAGUGUUUUACCUUUGUAGAAGCCUAAGUUAAAGUGUAG